Non-coding RNA from Pelobates cultripes (western spadefoot toad), 288 nucleotides. Lineage: Eukaryota; Metazoa; Chordata; Amphibia; Anura; Pelobatidae. The record is from the annotation of a GenBank genome assembly.
AGUUGACCCCCAUAAGGUUUGUAUUAGUUUAUUUGUUUUAACUUUUUUUGAUGUUAGCGAGCACUGGCCACCGGCCACACAAUUUACCAUUUCACUGGUUUUUGAAGGGACAUUAAAAACACCAAAAUAACUUUAGUUUAUUGGAGUGGUUUUGGUGUGUACCUCCUACUCUGUUCAUGGCCUGCUAGAGCUUGUGGUAGCCACCUUUGUAUGAUUAACGUACAAUUAAGGAGAUAAGAACUUACUAAAGUAAACACACUGUGCUGCCACAUCUGAUUGAAAAUGAAA